UCAAGAUAAGAUUUCCAAACGCAAGGGUAAGACCCCAGAAAGACUAUCUGGUUGAUAGGUCGAAGGUGUAAGUGCAGCAAUGUAUUUAGCUUAUCGAUACUAAUAGGUCGAGGACUUGACCAAUAUU
This 127-nucleotide ribosomal RNA is filed under the name Clostridioides difficile. RNAcentral describes it as "partial 23S ribosomal RNA". It matches the Rfam family "Bacterial large subunit ribosomal RNA", at positions 2799 to 2925 of the family's 2925-position model. The record is from RNAcentral. Lineage: Bacteria; Bacillati; Bacillota; Clostridia; Peptostreptococcales; Peptostreptococcaceae.